This 97-nucleotide signal recognition particle RNA is filed under the name Thiorhodovibrio frisius. Its description in RNAcentral is "Thiorhodovibrio sp. 970 Bacterial small signal recognition particle RNA". It matches the Rfam family "Bacterial small signal recognition particle RNA". From Rfam's summary of the family: The signal recognition particle (SRP) is a universally conserved ribonucleoprotein involved in the co-translational targeting of proteins to membranes. Archaeal SRP consists of a 7S RNA and homologues of the eukaryotic SRP19 and SRP54 proteins. The record is from Rfam by way of RNAcentral. Lineage: Bacteria; Pseudomonadati; Pseudomonadota; Gammaproteobacteria; Chromatiales; Chromatiaceae.
UGUCGGUCCCCGCGCAAGACUAAAUCGUGAACCCGGUCAGGCCCGGAAGGGAGCAGCCGCAGCGAUGGACGUUUGUGCCGUGGUGUGGCUGGCACUG